Molecule: transfer RNA, 74 nt
Filed under: Dietzia maris
Lineage: Bacteria; Bacillati; Actinomycetota; Actinomycetes; Mycobacteriales; Dietziaceae
Also listed under: 45 other names
Description: tRNA-Cys
Rfam family: tRNA
About the family: Transfer RNA (tRNA) molecules are approximately 80 nucleotides in length. Their secondary structure includes four short double-helical elements and three loops (D, anti-codon, and T loops). Further hydrogen bonds mediate the characteristic L-shaped molecular structure. tRNAs have two regions of fundamental functional importance: the anti-codon, which is responsible for specific mRNA codon recognition, and the 3' end, to which the tRNAs corresponding amino acid is attached (by aminoacyl-tRNA synthetases). tRNAs cope with the degeneracy of the genetic code in two manners: having more than one tRNA (with a specific anti-codon) for a particular amino acid; and 'wobble' base-pairing, i.e. permitting non-standard base-pairing at the 3rd anti-codon position.
Source: RNAcentral
GGUGGAGUGGCCGAGUGGUGAGGCAGCGGCCUGCAAAGCCGUCAACACGGGUUCGAUUCCCGUCUCCACCUCCA